This 253-nucleotide ribosomal RNA is filed under the name uncultured bacterium. Its description in RNAcentral is "partial 16S ribosomal RNA". It matches the Rfam family "Bacterial small subunit ribosomal RNA", at positions 524 to 776 of the family's 1533-position model. The record is from RNAcentral.
UACGAAGGGGGCUAGCGUUGCUCGGAAUCACUGGGCGUAAAGCGCACGUAGGCGGCUUUUUAAGUCAGGGGUGAAAUCCUGGAGCUUAACUCCAGAACUGCCUUUGAUACUGAGGAGCUAGAGUCCGGAAGAGGCGAGUGGAACUGCGAGUGUAGAGGUGAAAUUCGUAGAUAUUCGCAAGAACACCAGUGGCGAAGGCGGCUCACUGGUCCGGUACUGACGCUGAGGUGCGAAAGCGUGGGGAGCAAACAGG